RNAcentral lists this ribosomal RNA (600 nucleotides) under uncultured bacterium. RNAcentral describes it as "bacterial SSU rRNA". It matches the Rfam family "Bacterial small subunit ribosomal RNA", at positions 897 to 1498 of the family's 1533-position model. The record is from RNAcentral.
AAACUCAAAGGAAUUGACGGGGCCCGCACAAGCGGCGGAGCAUGCGGCUUAAUUCGAUGCAACCCGAAGAACCUUACCUGGACUUGACAUCAUGGGUCCGCCUGUGGAAACACAGGGGUGCUUUUGCGCCCAUGACAGGUGGUGCAUGGCUGUCGUCAGCUCGUGUCGUGAGAUGUUGGGUUAAGUCCCGCAACGAGCGCAACCCUUGUCCUAUGUUGCCAGCGGUUCGGCCGGGGACUCAUAGGAGACUGCCGGGGACAACUCGGAGGAAGGCGGGGACGACGUCAAGUCAUCAUGCCCCUUAUGUUCAGGGCUGCACGCAUGCUACAAUGGGCGGUACAACGGGCUGCGAUCCCGCGAGGGUGAGCGAAUCCCUGAAAACCGUCCUCAGUUCGGAUUGGAGUCUGCAACUCGACUCCAUGAAGCCGGAGUCGCUAGUAAUCGCGAAUCAGCAAUGUCGCGGUGAAUACGUUCUCGGGGCUUGUACACACCGCCCGUCACAUCACGGAAGUCGGUAACGCCCGAAGUCAGUGGCCUAACCUUUUUGGAGGGAGCUGCCGAAGGUGGGAUCGGCGACUGGGAUGAAGUCGUAACAAGGUA